Molecule: ribosomal RNA, 691 nt
Filed under: uncultured bacterium
Lineage: Bacteria
Description: bacterial SSU rRNA
Rfam family: Bacterial small subunit ribosomal RNA
Source: RNAcentral
GUUGUCGGGUUUUAAUUAACUUGGUAACGCAGCUAACGCGUGAAGUAGACCGCCUGGGGAGUACGGUCGCAAGAUUAAAACUCAAAGGAAUUGACGGGGACCCGCACAAGCGGUGGAUGAUGUGGAUUAAUUCGAUGCAACGCGAAAAACCUUACCUACCCUUGACAUGUACGGAAGGCCGAAGAGAUUUGGCUGUGCUCGAAAGAGAACCGUAACACAGGUGCUGCAUGGCUGUCGUCAGCUCGUGUCGUGAGAUGUUGGGUUAAGUCCCGCAACGAGCGCAACCCUUGUCAUUAGUUGCUACGAAAGGGCACUCUAAUGAGACUGCCGGUGACAAACCGGAGGAAGGUGGGGAUGACGUCAAGUCCUCAUGGCCCUUAUGGGUAGGGCUUCACACGUCAUACAAUGGUACAUACAGAGCGCCGCCAACCCGCGAGGGGGAGCUAAUCGCAGAAAGUGUAUCGUAGUCCGGAUUGUAGUCUGCAACUCGACUACAUGAAGUUGGAAUCGCUAGUAAUCGCGGAUCAGCAUGUCGCGGUGAAUACGUUCCCGGGUCUUGUACACACCGCCCGUCACACCAUGGGAGCGGGUUUUACCAGAAGUAGGUAGCUUAACCGUAAGGAGGGCGCUUACCACGGUAGGAUUCGUGACUGGGGUGAAGUCGUAACAAGGUAGCCGUAUCGGAAGGUGC